This 107-nucleotide small nuclear RNA is filed under the name Procavia capensis (Cape rock hyrax). The record is from RNAcentral. Lineage: Eukaryota; Metazoa; Chordata; Mammalia; Hyracoidea; Procaviidae.
GUUCUCGCUUCGGCAGCACUUAGACUAAAAUUGGAACAAUUCAGAGAAGAUCAGCAUGGCCUCUGCAGAAGUAUGGCUUGCAAAUUUAUGAAGCAUUCUAUAAUUUU